This 410-nucleotide long non-coding RNA is filed under the name Bos taurus (domestic cattle). RNAcentral's name for it is "long non-coding RNA NONBTAT019759". Lineage: Eukaryota; Metazoa; Chordata; Mammalia; Artiodactyla; Bovidae. The record is from RNAcentral.
GAUUAUAGAGAAAUCUCGCUCCAAGAUUACCCAGCAGAAGACACAUCUGGUCUGGUACAGAUCCUAUGUCAAUAAUUAAAACAUUGGAAAUAGAAACCAUCUUGGUUUAAGAAAUGUGCAGUGUUCUAAUUGUAGUCCUUAGCCAGCACUCUUGACGUAUGUGUUGAAGUGCCUGCUUUUUGAAAGGGGGUUUUCCCAGCAAUCCAUGCAAGUGACAAGUGUCCAAAUACUCUCUGAGAGAUGUUUUGGGUUUUUUGGUCAGUUUUUAAAGUUUGAUUAUCACCUGAAGCAGCACAAAGUAUAGUAACAGGGUCCUAUUCUAUGAGUUCAAAAUGUAGACAAAUGGUUUAAAUGUAAAACAAGAAGAAUAAAAUUUUUCUUGUGAUGAAAAUUAUUUGUAUGGGUUUAUG